Non-coding RNA from Drosophila melanogaster (fruit fly), 688 nucleotides. Lineage: Eukaryota; Metazoa; Arthropoda; Insecta; Diptera; Drosophilidae. The record is from Ensembl.
CUUCCAGAGAACUGCAGACUUCAGCUGAAGAUCCUGGAGACAGAAGUCGCUUCCCCUGAAUUCCUGAUGAUUCCGAUCACCGACUCCGCCAGGGUAUCUGUCAUCCAUUAAACACCAUAUAUAUGUUGUAUGUGGCGUUUAUGUAGCUGCAACGUAGAGUAAAAAGCUGCAGAUUGCCAAAUGUAAAACUCUGCAGUUUUGCUAUCAUCAUGCGAAAUCUGGGAGUCUGAUGCCGUUGAUGUCGCUCCAACUUCCCUUCUUGCCAUUUGCCAUUUGCCAUUUGCUAUUUACCCCGUUCACCAUCCUGCCCCAAAAAAAAUGCUGAACCCUAGGCUAAUCCUGCGACCAGGAUACUGCAUCCUGCAUAUCCUGGGCCCGAGGGCCCAACUACGUAUGUUUGUUAGUUGUUUACGUUUGUGUUGCCAUUUCGUUCUGUUUGCGUUAAAUGCGAAACGCGAAAUGCUAAAUCCACAAUGCAAAAUGCCGAAUGCAGCGUGCAGAAUGCGGACUGCGGAUUGAACACUAAAUUAUUAUAUCAAAUUUCGAGUCAAAUGUGUGUAAAUCAUAAAGUGAACUCAUAUGGACGACGGCAUAGACAAAAUCCGAUGUAAGCGUAUUUAAGCAUAUGUAUUUGUAUUUGUAUUUGAAUUUGUACUUGAAUUUGUAUAUGUGAAAGUUAAAUAUAUAU